UUUCCGGUUGAUCCCGCCGGACCUGACUGCUAUCGGAUUGAUACUAAGCCAUGCUAGUCUUUGUAGUAAUACAAGGCAUACGGCUCAGUAACGCGUAGUCAACCUACCCUAUGGACGGGGAUAAUCUCGGGAAACUGAGCAUAAUACCCGACAGACCACUUCUCCUGGAAUGGUUAGUGGUUAAAAUGAUUCGUCGCCAUAGGAUGGGACUGCGGCCUAUCAGCUUGUUGGUGAGGUAAUGGCCCACCAAGGCGAUUACAGGUACGGGCUCUGAGAGGAGAGGCCCGGAGAUGGGUACUGAGACAAGGACCCAGGCCCUAUGGGGCGCAGCAGGCGAGAAAACUUUGCAAUGUGCGAAAGCACGACAAGGUUAAUCCGAGUGAUUUCUGCUAAAGGAAUCUUUUGUUAGUUCUAAAAAUACUAGUGAAUAAGGGGUGGGCAAGUUCUGGUGUCAGCCGCCGCGGUAAAACCAGCACCCCAAGUGGUCAGGAGGAUUAUUGGGCCUAAAGCAUCCGUAGCCUGUUCUAUAAGUUUGCGGUUAAAUCUAUACGCUCAACGUAUAGGCUGCCGUAAAUACUGUAGAACUAGGGAGUGGGAGAGGUAGACGGUACUCGAUAGGAAGGGGUAAAAUCCUUUGAUCUAUUGAUGACCACCUGUGGCGAGGGCGGUCUACCAGAACACGUUCGACGGUGAGGGAUGAAAGCUGGGGGAGCAAACCGGAUUAGAUACCC
This 731-nucleotide ribosomal RNA is filed under the name uncultured archaeon. Its description in RNAcentral is "bacterial SSU rRNA". It matches the Rfam family "Archaeal small subunit ribosomal RNA", at positions 1 to 738 of the family's 1478-position model. The record is from RNAcentral.